AUUGAACGCUGGCGGCAUGCCUUACACAUGCAAGUCGAACGGCAGCACGGGUGCUUGCACCUGGUGGCGAGUGGCGAACGGGUGAGUAAUACAUCGGAACAUGUCCUGUAGUGGGGGAUAGCCCGGCGAAAGCCGGAUUAAUGCCGCAUACGAUCCACGGAUGAAAGCGGGGGACCUUCGGGCCUCGCGCUAUAGGGUUGGCCGAUGGCUGAUUAGCUAGUUGGUGGGGUAAAGGCCUACCAAGGCGACGCUCAGUAGCUGGUCUGAGAGGACGACCAGCCACACUGGGACUGAGACACGGCCCAGACUCCUACGGGAGGCAGCAGUGGGGAAUUUUGGACAAUGGGCGAAAGCCUGAUCCAGCAAUGCCGCGUGUGUGAAGAAGGCCUUCGGGUUGUAAAGCACUUUUGUCCGGAAAGAAAUCCUUGGCUCUAAUACAGUCGGGGGAUGACGGUACCGGAAGAAUAAGCACCGGCUAACUACGUG
RNAcentral lists this ribosomal RNA (486 nucleotides) under uncultured bacterium. Its description in RNAcentral is "partial 16S ribosomal RNA". It matches the Rfam family "Bacterial small subunit ribosomal RNA", at positions 30 to 507 of the family's 1533-position model. The record is from RNAcentral.